This is an RNA transcript of Tachysurus fulvidraco (yellow catfish), 4244 nucleotides long. It is a transcript of the gene named MCF.2 cell line derived transforming sequence a, with no coding region annotated. The record is from RefSeq and is a predicted model, not a curated record. Lineage: Eukaryota; Metazoa; Chordata; Actinopteri; Siluriformes; Bagridae. The transcript has 27 exons.
GAGUGUCAGCAGCCUCACACAGAGCUGCAGCACUGACGCACUCUCAUCCACAGUGGUGUGUAGACAGAGGGCUGUUAUGGAGUGCCACUUUACAGAUGAGGUUUUACAGUUCCGGACAGGAUGAUGUCCUUACAUGCAACAUAUCUCUACCAUAUGCACGGUGUGCUGUUUUUUAGCAUAGGGUGAACUGUAUAUAGUCUGACACCUCUCCUGGUGUCAGCAGUGUGCGUUCUUGGUUCAUUUUCCUAGAUGACAUCCUGAGUCGGAGAAGCUGGAAUACAUACUUUGCUUCAAGUAAUUAUCAGGAGAGGAGCCCUUAUCCAGCUGUGGGCUCGGGACUUUUCACUACUUUUACUAAUCAGUAGAAGGGGAGGAUGUGAGGGCCUGGAAGGCCCGAUAGUGUGGUCUUCUCCCCUGAAGCACAGCUAGGGAAUGGGCCCAGGAUCUUUGCUCCAGCCUCAGAGAGACAUGGAGGACUAUUACAGUCUUCUGCAGGCUGGCACUGAGCUGGAGAACACACUGCAGCAGGUUUCAAUUCCUGUGAGUAUGAAAGAAGUGGCUGGCUUUAUCGAGAAGCAAGUGGCUUUUUUAUCAGGGGGCCGUGGCGAGGAUUCUAGUGUCAUCAUUACUCUCCCAGAAUGCUCAGAUUUCAGUGAUAUCCCAGAGGAAGCUCUAGCUAAAGUCCUCACAUAUCUCACAUUGAUUCCACGAGCACGUCAACCUGGAGUAAAAUUUAUCAUCAUUCUGGACCGAAGACUGGAUACCUGGAAUUCCAUCAAGACAGCACUUGCAAGGAUAGCGGCAUCUUUUCCAGGAAAUCUUCAUCUGGUGUUAGUACUGAGACCAACCAGCUUCUUCCAACGCACAUUCACAGACCUUGUCUUUCGCUUCAGCCAAGAGGAUUUUAUGCUCAAAUUACCAGUUGUGAUGCUGAGCUCAGUCACUGACUUACUGCGCUACAUUGAGGAGAAUCAACUAACUUCUGAAUUUGGAGGCACUCUGGAAUACUGCCACAGUGACUGGAUCUUCCUCAGAACUGCUGUAGAGAGUUUUGCAGUGACUGUGAAGGACAUUGCUCAGAUGCUGCAGGCCUUUGGCACAGAAUUGGCAGAGAUGGAAUUAUCACAGGAGAGCAAUGCCAUCGAGUUGCUGCUGCUGUCACACACUGAGAAAUACAGGAAAUUGAAGGACGCUAUCAGCUCAGUGAUGAGGGAGGGACGCUACCUGCUCUCUAGCCUGGAGGCUUCUGGGAAGGAGGAGAAUAAGGAUACACACUGGGACAUAACACAGGACUGGGACACAGUGCAGAGACUCCUGGCACAGCUGAGGGACAUGGAGAUGGCUUUUGAUGAUUUCUUUGACAAGCACCACCUCAAACUUCAGCAAUACCUGCAGUUACUGAGAUAUGAGCACAGCUUUCAAGAGAUGGAGAGUUCAUUGGAGAAGUUGAGUUCUCAGGAAUGGAAGCUCAUUGUUACAGGAGAAACACUGGCACAGACAGAGCAGAUCAUCAAAGAGCUGGAUAUUCUAGAGAAACGAGCCCAGGAGGAAAUGACUCGGGCCCAGGUGAUGAUAUUGCAUGGACACCAGAUGGCUGCAGGUCAUCAUUAUGCCACUCCUCUAAUUGUACAGCGCUGUAAUGAGCUCAGACACCACUGUGACACACUAAACUCUGCCAUCAGUGCUAAAUGCAAAACACUCAUACAAGUGCAGACCUUAUUGCAACACCUCGAAGAGGCCCAGAAAUGGUGUGAUGAUGGCACAUGCCUCUUGGCCAAUCAGCAGUUAGAAAAAUUGAACUCUAGAGAAGGUGCUCAGGCAGCUCUGAGCGAUUUAGAGAAGUUCCAGGAGGGGGCGCCAACGCUCUUUAAUGCUGAGACAGACUUACUUUUUAUGGAAUAUGAGGGAGUCCUCACUCCUCACUUACAGACUCAUAUAGAGAAGACAUUUGAGAAGUAUACCUCUGUACAGAAUCUAUUCCAGACUAGACAGACCUGCCUGAAGAAACUAGCAGACAAACAUGUGCGGCCAAUACAGCUGGUAGUACCUCGACCAGAGAAUCCACCACGAUCCAAGUCCCCAGUCUUUUCUCCCAAACAUGAUCUUAAUUCAAGUAUGAAAUUCACCUUUGACUUCUCAGGCAAAAGAGCAACUCGGAAAAGCCCAAACUCCAGGAAGAUUGAGGUGUUGCACGACUAUCAGAACCGCAACGCUACGUCCUACACUGUGGAUGGCGUGGAUGGAGCAGACCUGCGGAAACAUCAUGUAAUGAGGGAGCUGAUCGAGACAGAAAGGAUAUAUGUAGAAGAGCUUCUGACUGUGUUGCUGGGCUACAGGGCAGAGAUGGACAACCCCUUGCUCUCUUCUCUCCUGCCCACCUGCCUGCGCAACAAGAGAGAUAUACUGUUUGGAAACAUGCCUGAUAUCUACAGUUUUCACAGCAGAGUAUUCCUGCAAGACCUGGAGAGCUGUCUGGACACGCCUGAAGCUGUGGGAGCAUGUUUUCUAGAACGGAAAGAGAACUUCCAGGUAUACGAGCGUUACUGUCAGAAUAAGCCACGAUCCGAGUCCUUAUGGAAGCAGUUUUCGGACUGUGCAUUUUUCCGGGAGUGCCAAAAGAAGCUAGAGCACAAGCUGGCUCUGGAUUCAUACCUGCUGAAACCAAUUCAGCGUCUUACCAAGUACCAGCUCCUGCUGAAGGAGUUGCUGAAGUACAGCUCAGGGUGUGAGAGGGUCUCCGAGCUGCAGGGUGCACUGAACGCCAUGCUGGACUUGCUCAAAUCUGUUAAUGAUUCUAUGCACCAGAUUGCCAUCACAGGAUAUGAGGGUGAGCUGAGUGAUUUGGGCCGAGUCCUGAUGCAGGGCUCCUUCAGUGUGUGGAUCAGUCAUAAGAGAGGCGCGACACGGAUGAAGGAGCUUGCACGCUUCAAACCCAUGCAGAGGCACCUGUUCCUGUACGAGCGUGCACUCCUCUUCUGCAAGCGCAGGGAGGAUCAUGGCGAGCACGCUAAUAAGACACCUUCCUACAGCUUCAAACAUUGUCUUAAGAUGAGUGCUGUGGGCAUCACAGAGAAUGUAAAAGGAGAUGUGAAGAAGUUUGAGAUCUGGUACAGUGGCAGAGAGGAGGUGUAUUCGGUGCAGGCACCGACAGUGGAGGUAAAACUUGCUUGGUUGAAUGCAAUUAGAAAAAUUCUCACCAACCAGCAGAAACUAUUUAAAGGUGAACUUUGUCACUCCAACCCACUGGCUGAACAUUUUCCUCUGUCUCCGUCCCUCUCUGAGAGGGCCAUGCGGCCUUCCCGUGGGGUUCUUACAGGUUGCCUGCCACGUCUGGACCUUGUGUCCGUGUCAGCGGGUGCGUGUGUUUGUCUGCGCUCCCGAAGCCCACGCCUCGCUCGCCCUUCCCAGCGCCAGUGACGCUCCGCGGUAAAGCGGGUCGCUCUGAUUCUCUUUCAUACACACAGGGCUGCAGCAGCUGCACAUCCCUCAUGUCAUAGCUUACCAUCAGAGACCUACUGUACUUCAUGCACCAUCCAUAACACAGUUCUGCAUGGUAUGCAAAUGAUGAGAAAAUUCAGAGCCUCUGGUAUGGCUCCAUGGUUUUGGCUGCUGAAACCAUGCUUAGAAGUAAUAUUUCAAUCACAGUGCUUAUAAAGAAGCUGAUGUUUGGCAUGAUGCUUAGUAAUUAGCCAAUGAUAGCUUUCAUCGAUCGUUAAGCACAUCAUGUCCUUUCGGGGUUUGAAUGAAACAUCCCUUUAUGACAGAGCUCACUUUUUAAACCUGAGACCAAUACAAUUAUUUAUUUUGUUUAUAAUUCUAUUAUGACUCACAGGCAAGUGGUGAACAAAUAAGCUUUGAAAUAAAAACCUUGACAAAUCGCAUCAUACUGUAAUUACUUUUGUUUCAUUUUGGCUCAGCAUGUGGCUGUGCUCUAAUAAGUUCUUCCUAGGUCUGAAUGCAAGCUUGUAUAUUCUAAUGCAGUUUAUGUUGGGCUGCUGGACAACAUGGCUUAUUUCUUUGGGUAAAGUGUUUGUGUUUGUUUGAGAGAGCAUUUAUUCAGUUUCUUUAGUAUAUCCUCUUCCUCACCUAAUACAGCAAGAAGCAAAGAGCGUCAGUCAGCUCGGAGGAGACGGAGUCGGGCCACAGCAGUCCAGACCCGUUUAGCCUUUCUCCACAACACAAGGACAACAGACACAGUUGGCCAGGUGCCACUCACUCAGUGGAUAUCUGUGAAGAUCUGGAGG